GACGAACGCUGGCGGCGUGCUUAACACAUGCAAGUCGAACGGAAAGGCCCUGCUUUUGUGGGGUGCUCGAGUGGUGAACGGGUGAGUAACACGUGAGUAACCUGCCCUUGACUUUGGGAUAACUUCAGGAAACUGGGGCUAAUACCGUAUAGGAGCUCCUGCUGCAUGGUGGGGGUUGGAAAUUUUCGGCGGUUGGGGAUGGACUCGCGGCUUAUCAGCUUGUUGGUGGGGUAGUGGCUUACCAAGGCUUGGACGGGUAGCCGGCCUGAGAGGGUGACCGGCAACAUUGGGACUGAGAUACGGCCCAGACUCCUACGGGAGGCAGCAGUGGGGAAUAUUGCACAGUGGGCGGACGCCUGAUGCAGAGACGCCGCGUGCGGGAUGACGGCAUUCGGGUUAUAAACCGCUUUCGCCUGAGACGAAGCGUGAGUGACGGUAAUGGGUAAAGAAGCACCGGCUAACUACGUG
Molecule: ribosomal RNA, 468 nt
Filed under: uncultured bacterium
Lineage: Bacteria
Description: partial 16S ribosomal RNA
Rfam family: Bacterial small subunit ribosomal RNA
Source: RNAcentral